RNAcentral lists this non-coding RNA (964 nucleotides) under Upeneus sulphureus (sulphur goatfish). RNAcentral's name for it is "12S ribosomal RNA". It matches the Rfam family "Bacterial small subunit ribosomal RNA". Lineage: Eukaryota; Metazoa; Chordata; Actinopteri; Syngnathiformes; Mullidae. The record is from RNAcentral.
CAAAAGCUUGGUCCUGACUUUACUAUCAGCUCUAGCUAGAUUUACACAUGCAAGCAUCCGCGCCCCUGUGAGUAAGGCCCCCCCGCGUCUUCCACCUCGAAGAUUUGGAGCCGGUAUCAGGCACACCCUCUCGUAGCCCAUGACACCUCGCUUUGCCACACCCCCAAGGGAACUCAGCAGUGAUAAACAUUAAGCCAUAAGUGAAAGCUUGACUUAGUUAAAGCUAAGAGGGCCGGUAAAACUCGUGCCAGCCACCGCGGUUAUACGAGAGGCCCAAGUUGAUAGGCACCGGCGUAAAGGGUGGUUAAGGAAUAUUGCACAAUAAAGCCGAAUGCCUUCAAAGCUGUUGUACGCUAUCGAAGUCUCUGAAGCCCCACUACGAAAGUGGCUUUACCCCGCCCCGAACCCACGAAAGCUAGGGUACAAACUGGGAUUAGAUACCCCACUAUGCCUAGCUGUCAACAUUGAUAUGACAUUACACACAAUAUCCGCCCGGGUACUACGAGCAUUAGCUUAAAACCCAAAGGACUUGGCGGUGCUUUAGAUCCCUCUAGAGGAGCCUGUUUACUAGAACCGAUAAUCCCCGUUCAACCUCACCCUUCCCUGUAAUCUUUCUGCCUAUAUACCUCCGUCGCCAGUCCACCCUUUGAAGGAUGCACAGUGGGCCCCCCUGGUAAAUACCCCCAAUGUCAGGUCGAGGUGUAGCGUAUGGAAGGGGAAGUAAUGGGCUACAUUCGCUGCCUCAGCGUACCACGAAAGAUACAUUGAAAGAUGCAUCCGAAGGUGGAUCUAGUAGUAAGGAGAGAGUAGAGUGCUCUUCUGAAUAUGGCUCUUAAGCGUGCACACAUCGCCCGUCACUCUCCCCGACCUUAGUCUAAUAAACCCGUACUUAACAACACGGACGUUAUCAAGGGGAGGUAAGUCGUAACACAGUAAGUGUACCGGAAGGUGCACUUGGAAGAAC